CAUUAAUCCCGGAGGCCCUUUUGGCCCCUGUAUCCCAGUGAAGCCUUUAUCGCCUUGAUAGCCCUACACAAGAAGAAAUCAAGAUAUAAUAAUGAUACAACAAGGUCAUUAUUGGUUCUGGAUGCUGAUACCCUUCGCUACUGAGAAACAUCAACAAAAUAAUCAGUAGGUUCAAGGAUCAAAGCUGCCGUGGAACAAAAAAAGAUUGAGAAGAUUCUCAAUGGGAGAAUGUUUUCCUGUAUUCCAGACUUUACAAUAAAACGUUCAGCAUCA
Long non-coding RNA from Callorhinchus milii (elephant shark), 273 nucleotides. RefSeq lists it as uncharacterized. Lineage: Eukaryota; Metazoa; Chordata; Chondrichthyes; Chimaeriformes; Callorhinchidae. The record is from RefSeq and is a predicted model, not a curated record. The transcript has 2 exons.